UGCAAUCCAUUAACUCAAUAAUACUGGGAAUGAAACACCGAUAGACUCAAAAAAGAGUGGCUGAAAAAUUUGUGACAGCAAAAACAGAAGAAAAAGCAAAAGAAUCGGAACUGAAAACCAAGGAGGAGCUGAAGCCCUGGGAGCAGCGCUCUGUUGUGAUCACCAUUCCUCGUUUUGACUACAACGCCUCUUCUUCUCUCCUCAGUCAUUCCCACUCCGGAUUCCUCAUCACCUGCCCCAUCAAGAGGGAGAAGAGUGCAACAAAAGAAGCCAUGUCAAUUCUUGAAAAGCUAAGAAGAGGAGAAUAUCUGUAAGUACAGAGGAGGAACUUGGCAAUAGUUUGGAGAGGAAAGAUGCGGCCGAUGACUUUGGAGAACCUGGUAACAGUUUAAGUCUGGUAUUUUAGUUUAUACACAUGCUCAUACAGAUAAUGCAAAUUAACAUGUAUAACUACCUGCAAUCUACAAAGAAAAUGAAGAGGGUGCGGAUUUGUCUGUAAGAACAGGUAAUAUGACUUGUAUGCAUGAAAAAAUAAUAAGAAGUUUAUUAAAACAAUAUGUGACUAUAAAAAUAGGAAAUGAGAAGUAAAUAGAAGGAGAAGAGUAAAGAAAGUACCUUAUGAUAGCUGCAUCCCUGAGACAUACUUCUUUAGCCUUGUUUGACUUCGUAAAAGGCUCUAAUACUGCCCAUAUGCUUAAACACCAACCCUCUCCCCCCAACUGAGCCUUUAGCAAAAAUUUUCUGUGUACCCAGUUUGCUACAAAUAGUUUAUGUGAGAGGUACGUAUCUGUGAAGGUUUUGGCUUCUUAGUACAAGAGUAAAGUUCAAGGCAAGAUUUGGUGGAUUGCAAGUAACAAAGAAUUGCUAAAGGAAACUUGUGCAAUUAAAAUUAUUAGCAGGUAGAGAAAAGAUGAAAUGGAACUUCCCUCCCAAAAAUUAAUGAAUGAAUGAACAGAGUGUACUCUAAAAAAGUCGUACAAGAAUUUGUGUUAUUUCUAUU
This is an RNA transcript of Coffea eugenioides, 1000 nucleotides long. RefSeq lists it as uncharacterized. Lineage: Eukaryota; Viridiplantae; Streptophyta; Magnoliopsida; Gentianales; Rubiaceae. The transcript is spliced from 3 exons. The record is from RefSeq and is a predicted model, not a curated record.